Molecule: non-coding RNA, 66 nt
Filed under: Acinetobacter gerneri
Lineage: Bacteria; Pseudomonadati; Pseudomonadota; Gammaproteobacteria; Moraxellales; Moraxellaceae
Also listed under: 1 other name
Description: Fluoride sequence
Rfam family: Fluoride riboswitch aptamer (crcB RNA motif)
Source: RNAcentral
UGAAGCUUAGGAGAUGGUAUUCCUCCCAUUACAAACCGCCCUUAGGCUGAUGAUACCUACGUCUUC